Molecule: long non-coding RNA, 379 nt
Filed under: Homo sapiens (human)
Lineage: Eukaryota; Metazoa; Chordata; Mammalia; Primates; Hominidae
Description: non-protein coding lnc-PLG-3:1
Source: RNAcentral
UGGAUUCAGAGAAAAGAUGACAGUGCACCCUGAGAAAAGACCAUGGUGCACCGAAAGAAAAGACAAGGGGGAACACAAAGAAAAAAUGACAGUGAACCCGGAGAAAAGGCAAUGGUGAACCCAGAGAAAAUACAAUUGUGAACCCAGAGAUCAUUAAAAAGUCAGGAAACAACAGGUGCUGGAGAGGAUGUGGAGAAAUAGGAACACUUUAACACAUGGACACAGGAAGGAGAACAUUACACAGCGGGGCCUGUUGUGGGGUGGGGGGAGGGGGGAGGGAUAGCAUUAGGAGAUAUACCUAAUGCUAAAUGACUAGUUAAUGGGUGCAGCACACCAACAUGGCACAUGUAUACAUAUGUAACAAACCUGCACAUUGUGC